This 696-nucleotide unclassified non-coding RNA is filed under the name Hevea brasiliensis (rubber tree). Lineage: Eukaryota; Viridiplantae; Streptophyta; Magnoliopsida; Malpighiales; Euphorbiaceae. The record is from RNAcentral.
AUUGAAAUUGAGUAGAAAAGAAAAAAAAUGAAUUAAAUAAGAAAUUAUGACAUAACAUGAUGUCAUUAGUGUGCCUCCACCCAAUCACAUGGUGACACAUGGCUAUAACUCACUUAAAAUGAGUUAAAUGGGCAGAAAUGAAAGAAAAAAAAUCAGUUUUCCUUUUACUUUCUUCUUCCAUCCGUAGCUCUCCUAACCCUUACCACCAUUAAAGCUUAUCCAAGCUUUAUAACCCACCCAAAUCUCAGUUGAAACCCUAAGUCCACUUUAACAAAAUUUGUCUCUACAUCUUGAGCAAGUGUUUGGCUGCCAAGAAAGCCAAAGAAAGUGAAGGAAUUUUGAGUGGGAAAAUUCUGCUCAAAAGGUUAGUGUCCAAUCUCCUCUUUUUCUUGCUUAAUUCAUGUUUAAGGCCAUGAGUCAAGUGGAAAUUGUCAUAAAAACAUAAUAUAAUUUAUGUGUAUUUAUCUAUACAAUUUCUGCAGCUUAGGGAUGUUAAGGUUUUCAUCAAUUUCCUUGAAACAAAAUGGUAUAUGAACUGCCUUGACAUGAGAUGAGUGUUUAAACAUUUAAGUGCAGGUGAAAUGUAUGUAUGGAAUUAGAAAACUUGGAGACUUGAACAAAACUAGGUUUUGCUCAUAUGAUGGUAUAUGAAAAUUGUAAUGGUCAAUUAGGGACCAUUUGACUAUAUGUGAGGAG